Sesamum indicum (sesame) is the source of this 548-nucleotide long non-coding RNA. RefSeq lists it as uncharacterized. Lineage: Eukaryota; Viridiplantae; Streptophyta; Magnoliopsida; Lamiales; Pedaliaceae. The record is from RefSeq and is a predicted model, not a curated record.
UUCACAUUUUACCCCUUCCUCAACCUCGUUGUUCGUGUAACCUGCACCUUUUCUCUCUCUCUCUCUCAUCCCUUACACACACACACACACAUUUGUUUAUAUUUAUUUAUUGCAGAUAGGAGUGAGUGUGGAAGAAAAGGGGGGGUGCACUGUUUGGCUGGCACAAAGAGAGAAGAGUAUAAAGACGCUGUCUUACUCAGGAAAUCCUUUUAGACAAAUACUGUUGCUGCUUGCACCACCUCACUUUUCUCUCCUUUCUUCUUACUCUGUAAAAAAAGCCAAACAAGCGCACAACCCUUCAAGCUAUUAGGGCUUUUUCUGCGCUUUCCUACCAGCAAAGUUCUUUUAUAGGUAUGGCUGUGGCAUUUGCUGUUCAGUUUUCUGGGAGCAGAGGGUUUCCUCAAGGUGGGUGGAUGCCUAUGAUUCUUGCACCUAUGCAUGCUUUAUUCCUUGGCCUCGAAGUGGCUGCAAGAUCUCGGGUGUUUGGAGCUGUUCAGCAACUACAUUUGAGUAAAUUGGUUCUUUAGAGCAAGAUGUAGAUCGACAAA